CAUCAACUGGCAGCAUUCUAGAAAAUGAGCAAAGAUCAAAUUUAAUGAAUAAUAUCCUUCGAAUAAUUUCUGAUUUACAGCAGUCUUGUGAAUAUGAUAUUCCCAUGUUGCCUCAUGUCCAAAAAUAUCUCAACUCCGUUCAGUAUAUAGAAGAACUACAAAAAUUUGUGGAAGACGAUAAUUACAAGCUUUCAUUAAAGAUAGAACCAGGGACAAGCACCCCACGUUCUGCUGCUUCCAGAGAAGAUUUAGUAGGUCCUGAAGUAGGAGCGUCUCCACAGAGUGGACGAAAAAGUGUGGCAGCUGAAGGAGCCUUGCUCCCACAGACACCGCCAUCCCCUCGGAAUCUGAUUCCACAUGGACAUAGGAAGUGCCAUAGUUUGGGUUAUAAUUUCAUUCAUAAAAUGAACACAGCAGAAUUUAAGAGUGCAACGUUUCCAAAUGCAGGACCAAGACAUCUGUUAGAUGAUAGCGUCAUGGAGCCCCAUGCGCCAUCUCGAGGCCAAGCUGAAAGUUCUACUCUUUCUAGUGGAAUAUCAAUAGGUAGCAGCGAUGGUUCUGAACUAAGUGAAGAGACCUCAUGGCCUGCUUUUGAAAGUUCUGCAGAAUCAGAAGAUUUGGCAGUACAUUUAUAUCCAGGAGCUGUUACUAUUCAAGGUGUUCUCAGGAGA
This 671-nucleotide small RNA is filed under the name Pan troglodytes (chimpanzee). RNAcentral describes it as "processed transcript". Lineage: Eukaryota; Metazoa; Chordata; Mammalia; Primates; Hominidae. The record is from RNAcentral.